Long non-coding RNA from Passer domesticus (house sparrow), 2733 nucleotides. RefSeq lists it as uncharacterized. The record is from RefSeq and is a predicted model, not a curated record. The transcript has 14 exons. Lineage: Eukaryota; Metazoa; Chordata; Aves; Passeriformes; Passeridae.
AUUGGAAGCAGCUGGCUUUGCUGCUUCUUUGGAGUCCUGUCACACCCCUUCUUGGGAGAGAAGUUAAUGCUCCCUUCACUUUUCUCUUGUCCUUGACACAAAACUGACUGAGCGUGGAAUCAAAUGCUUGAUGGGCUGUCCAGCAAACUAGAAUAUUGCUGAUUCACCCAGCUUUUCUUUUCAACUGUGUGCCAGGAAUAUUUAUACAUGGGAUGUGCAGUUAUGGGACAAAGGAGGACACAUUUGGGAUUCAAUUCAGGCUCAGGGUUACAAACGCUCUCUUCUAAUCAGAAGCACACAGCUGCAGAGGGACCUGGUACCUGUUUUCUUCAGAGAGAAAUUGCCAAAAUUCCUCCAUGUUAUAAUAUUGAAAAGGCUGAACUUUCAGCCUCCUGGUUGAAUAGGCAUAAACGUGUCACAGUUUUGAGAAAAUUACGUUUUUAAAUCCAAUCUGUUCAGGAGAUGGGGAUGAUCCCUUAACCCAUCUGCCAUGGGCACCCGAGGCUGAUUUCUGUCCUGGGAGCCUCCCACAGUGAAACACGAGGCAAAACCAGCUUUUCACCAACAGCUGUCUUCCACUCUCAUUUCAUGCAUGAUGGACCUCAGAGGAGUGACUCCUUAGUGUGGGUGUGAUGUGCAUGAAACAAAUCCCUGAGAGGGACAUCCUGCAGCUUCUUCUGGGUGCUGCUGUUCCUAUGGGCUCUCUACCCAGACACACUGCACAGCCUCCCUUGCCAGAAAUCAAAUGCCAGCACUUGUGGGUACACCUGCAUUGCUCAAGACAGUCUAGCAAGAUGCAAAAAUCUUAAUGGAGGUUGUUAAAAUAGAAAUCUGUCAGGUUUCUGUGAAUUACAAGCCAAGCAGAAGAUCUCCAGAGAGAAGGGGGAAACAGCUCUGAAAACCUUGUACUCAAAGAUGGGUCUACACCUGAGAACAUUAACACAAUGUGAAAGCCCGAAAACAUCUGCCAUCAACUGAGAUCCAGGAGGUAAAAGCUAUCCUGGCCUGAAGAGACAUUUGGGGGAAGAACAGUGUGAAGAAAAUGGUGGAUCUGAGAAUCAGCCUGUCUAAUUUGAGUGAGACCUUCCAUUAAGUGAACAAAUAAGCUCUCUCUUUCUGAUUGUCUCAGAUCUUGAAAGGUUUUCAAAAGUCCUUUUUUUGCUAACAUCACAAAGCUUUACAGUUUAGAAAGCCUGGAAUUCAAAGCUUCAUCUACAUUUUUAAUCUACAAAAGUAAAUCUUUUGCACAUCUUAGACUUCUGGGGCAGGAGGCAGAUGCACACCUUCACAUUUGGACUAAGCUGGCCAGCCCCAAGGCAGCUCUCAUCCAGGAGCCAGGGAUCUGCAAUGCAGAGAUGAGUAUCACUACCUUCAAUUUUACAGAUCAGAAAACUGAAACACAAAAAGUAGGCUUUUGGAUUUCAAUUUUAUGGCACAGCAGCUCUGCAGGGACGAAGACACUUUUCCCCAGGCUGCCCCUGCCAGGUGUCUGCAGCAGGGGGAAGGAGCCAGGGCUGUGGCCAGGAGCACCAUGGGUGGUGGUGAACUGAGCAGGGAGAAGAUCACAGCUCCUCUAACAGGUCACAUAUUUAGCACGGAAGCUUUGUGGUGCUUGCCCAGCUCAGUCAGGAUUUCCCAGUGUGCUUCUUCACCUCCAUUUAAUUUUCAUGGAAGACACAGCUUAUGAAGCUGCACCUGGAUUCCACAUUAAUCUUCUUGGAGAACACUCACCAAGGGACUGAAGGCUCCAGCUGGGGCUGGCACUGCUCCCAGAGGCUGAGGGACACCCUGUGGGUACCUCGGAGAGAUGGAUCCACCUCGGAGAGCUGGAUCAUCCUUGGAGAGCUGGAUCCCCCUUGGAGAGCUGGAUCCCCUUUGCAGAUCUGGAUCCCUGGAUCCCCCUUGGAGAGAUGGAUCCCCCCUGGAGAGCUGGAUCUAGGGAUCUCUCUCAGAAAGCUGGAUCCCUGGAUCUCCUUUGGACAGCUGGAUCCCUGGAUCUCCUCUGGACAGCUGGAUCCCCCUUGAAGACCUGGAUCCCUGUGUAGCUCAGGGGCAGCCUGAGGCACCCUGACUGACAGCACAGACCUGUGUUGCCUCUGGCCCUUGGAGGAAAGGGUUCAUCCCUCUUUCCUUCCCAAGAAUUGCAUUCCAUACUGAUGUCUUUAGCAUUUAUAUUUUUACGACCCUGUACUGCAUUAGUGUAGAACUCUGAACUCCAUAUAAAGCAUUAGCAAGCUCUCUUCACAUUUUGGUCAGACAAAACAAUCCUUCCAGGCCUGAGAACCAAGGACAGCCUCGGCCUCAGGCUCCAAGAAGUACAAAUAAAAUGAGUUGGGGGAGGAGAAGCAAACUGGAAGAAUAUGACUUCAUUACCUGAAGCUAUAAUUGAACAAUUAACCUCUGAUAUGCAAAUAGACCAAACUUAUAUUUGUCUCAAAAACUCAUGACCCUCAUCCAUCUUGGGUGUAGCCCCUCUCAGAGGUUUCUGCCUGCCCAAGGUGUCUCUGUUGAAGGCCUUUAAUAAAUACCCACUUUUAUUCUCCUGAUCUUGGCUAGCCUCUGUUCUAGGCAGCCACUCCCAGGCAUCAAGCAAAACAACCACAGAGGUGCUGGCAGUGAAACUCCUGGGUAGUGCCAUUUCCCCCCCAGCUUUGUUUUGUGUGGCUGUGAAACAAGAAUUGUAUUUACAUAUGUUAAAAUAAAUAAAUAAAACCAAAAAAAUCGUUACCUUAA